RNAcentral lists this ribosomal RNA (237 nucleotides) under uncultured bacterium. RNAcentral's name for it is "partial 16S ribosomal RNA". It matches the Rfam family "Bacterial small subunit ribosomal RNA", at positions 15 to 244 of the family's 1533-position model. The record is from RNAcentral.
GAUCCUGGCUCAGGAUGAACGCUAGCUACAGGCUUAACACAUGCAAGUCGAGGGGCAGCAUGAACUUAGCUUGCUAAGUUUGAUGGCGACCGGCGCACGGGUGAGUAACACGUAUCCAACCUGCCGAUGACUCUAGGAUAGCCUUUCGAAAGAAAGAUUAAUACCCGAUGGCAUAAUUCUUCCGCAUGGUAGAACUAUUAAAGAAUUUCGGUUAUCGAUGGGGAUGCGUUCCAUUAG